Molecule: long non-coding RNA, 1413 nt
Filed under: Chrysolophus pictus (golden pheasant)
Lineage: Eukaryota; Metazoa; Chordata; Aves; Galliformes; Phasianidae
Description: lncRNA (ENSCPIG00010006652.1)
Source: RNAcentral
GGUUUCUGCUGGCACCACCUCCAUCUCUCCGGUGCAGGCAUGCAACUCAGGAGGCCGACCUCUCUCUGGCCGAAGGCUGUCCUGCCUUGCGUACUUCAUGGUAAUGUCACUGGCGGUGCUUCGACAGUCUGAAGUCUCUGUGAGUCAUGUGUCCCCCCAGCGGGUUUCCUCGCAGUGUGUCAGCCAGCGAUGCCACCGGUGUGCCGAGAACCAGAGGAAGACUCACUGGUGAUCCUGGCUUACAUCACAGGGCUGGAGGAUGUUUGGAGGGCUGGUUGUCAGCUGCACAGAGAAAUAUGUUCAUUCCAGGCAACUUCAGCAAGCAUGGAAAUAACUUUCUGGUGUUAAGAAUGGAAGAGACUGUUCAUACCAUUGAAGCAGGUUUUACCCAUUCAAGCUCUGCUCCAGCAUAGGUGUCUGAGAAAAGAAGGGUGCACUGUGGGACUGUCACCAUCUCAGGAGCAACAUCGCUGUUGAAGAUUUUCAGAGCAGGAAUCUGAAUGCCUGUAUGUUGCAAAGAGGAGCAUGAUCUGUGCUGAUUUCCAGAGGAGCAGCAUCCGGGUCCUUCCCCUACCCUCCUCUCCAGCAUCCGGGCUGGGCUUCCACGUCCCCUUUAUUAUGGCACUCCUGGCUUGAACAUGAGCAGGAACUGGAGUCACGCACACCACACUUCAAAGCCCUCUCCCAGCCUGUGAGGUGGCUUCUGAUAGCAGAAGAUAUGGCAUCUGCAGAUCAGAAGACGAGAGAAAGUCAUGAGCUGCCCAGACAGACACCGCUUGAGUCAUCCCCCUUCCACCUGUUCUCACCUGGAUGCAUGGGAAAAGACAACUCAUGCUCAAACACCCAGCUCAGCUGCGCCCGCCCCUACAGAACAAACAUUUGAUGUCAGUAGAGAAAAUUAAUGGGCAGCAAUUGCAGCGACUUCCUUUCCCUUCACGCACUUCUCUGGGGUUUUAUCAAAAGUAAAGAAAGUGAAUAAUGAGAUUGCAGUUGGCACAUGGACACUUCUGGAGGACGUGAUGCCCCAUCGGGGCUGAGUAGCCAUCAGGAUUGGUGUCACUGGGCAAGUCCUGCCCACACCUCAAGGGCUGCUGCACGGUGGUGAGGGACAGGGGCAGAGCAGGGUGGAAGCGGGAUAGCUCCCCCAGUAGUGGGGUCAGGACAGGGGAAAUGUCACCUAUGUAUUCUGCCUGCUUGAAGGCUGAACAUGCAUAACUUCGCACCCUAGGCAUGUAGUUCCACUUGGAUCAUCUCGAGUGGUGGCUCAGUAGGUGGCACUCUGCACCCACAGGGAAGCAGCACCUUUCUGAAGGCGAGCCCUACACCUCCACAGCAGGACAGCCGGUGGGGAGAGUCCUACAUUCCUUCAUGGCUUCUUCUCCUUCCACCGCCCCUAGGGUGGUCCUCCAGCAG